ACUGAAUAGAUACCCCGGUAGUCUUGGCCCUAAACUAUGUUCACUAGGUGUCGGGGGUUUCCUUCGGUGCCGCAGCUAAACGCAUUAAAGUGAACCGCCUGGGGACUACGGCCGCAAGGUUGAAACUCAAAGGAAUUGGCGGGGGCCCGCACAAGCGGUGGAGCAUGUGGCUUAAUUCGAUGCAACGCGAAGAACCUUACCAGGGCUUGACAUGUAGCUGCAAGCCGCCGAAACGUGGUCGCCUUCGAGGGUGCUACACAGGUGGUGCAUGGCUGUCGUCAGCUCGUGUUGUGAAAUGUUGGGUUAAGUCCCGCAACGAGCGCAACCCUCAUGUUCUGUUACCAGCGAGUAAAGUCGGGGACUCGGAACAAACUGCCUCUGUAAGGAGGAGGAAGGUGGGGAUGACGUCAAGUCAUCAUGCCCCUUACGCCCUGGGCUGCACACAUGCUACAAUGGCCGGUACAAAGAGCUGCGAACUCGCGAGGGUAAGCUAAUCUCAAAAAGCCGGUCUCAGUUCGGAUUGGAGUCUGCAACUCGAC
This 539-nucleotide ribosomal RNA is filed under the name uncultured bacterium. RNAcentral's name for it is "bacterial SSU rRNA". It matches the Rfam family "Bacterial small subunit ribosomal RNA", at positions 772 to 1316 of the family's 1533-position model. The record is from RNAcentral.